Molecule: ribosomal RNA, 236 nt
Filed under: uncultured Paragyrodon
Lineage: Eukaryota; Fungi; Basidiomycota; Agaricomycetes; Boletales; Gyrodontaceae
Description: partial 18S ribosomal RNA
Rfam family: Eukaryotic small subunit ribosomal RNA
Source: RNAcentral
GUCGGCGUCUAGCCGCCGGAAGUUUGAGGCAAUAACAGGUCUGUGAUGCCCUUAGAUGUUUGGGGCCGCACGCGCGCUACACUGACAGAGCCAGCGAGUUUUUUCCCUUGGCCGGAAGGUCUGGGUAAUCUUGUGAAACUCUGUCGUGCUGGGGAUAGAGCAUUGCAAUUAUUGCUCUUCAACGAGGAAUACCUAGUAAGCGUGAGUCAUCAGCUCGCGUUGAUUACGUCCCUGCC